GUCUAUGGCCAUGUCACCCUGAACAAGCCGGAUCCUGUCUGAUCUCAGAAGCUAAGCAGGGUCGGGCCUGGUUAGUACUUGGAUGGGAGACCACCUAGGAAGACCAGGUGCUGUAGGCG
Molecule: ribosomal RNA, 119 nt
Filed under: Pteropus alecto (black flying fox)
Lineage: Eukaryota; Metazoa; Chordata; Mammalia; Chiroptera; Pteropodidae
Source: RNAcentral